GACGAACGCUGGCGGCGUGCUUAACACAUGCAAGUCGAACGGAAAGGCCCUGCUUUUGUGGGGUGCUCGAGUGGCGAACGGGUGAGUAACACGUGAGUAACCUGCCCUUGACUUUGGGAUAACUUCAGGAAACUGGGGCUAAUACCGGAUAGGAGCUCCUGCUGCAUGGUGGGGGUUGGAAAGUUUCGGCGGUUGGGGAUGGACUCGCGGCUUAUCAGCUUGUUGGUGGGGUAGUGGCUUACCAAGGCUUUGACGGGUAGCCGGCCUGAGAGGGUGACCGGCCACAUUGGGACUGAGAUACGGCCCAGACUCCUACGGGAGGCAGCAGUGGGGAAUAUUGCACAAUGGGCGGAAGCCUGAUGCAGCAACGCCGCGUGCGGGAUGACGGCCUUCGGGGUGUAAACCGCUUUCGCCUGUGAUGAAGCGUGAGUGACGGUAAUGGGUAAAGAAGCACCGGCUAACUACG
Molecule: ribosomal RNA, 466 nt
Filed under: uncultured bacterium
Lineage: Bacteria
Description: partial 16S ribosomal RNA
Rfam family: Bacterial small subunit ribosomal RNA
Source: RNAcentral